Molecule: ribosomal RNA, 401 nt
Filed under: uncultured bacterium
Lineage: Bacteria
Description: partial 16S ribosomal RNA
Rfam family: Archaeal small subunit ribosomal RNA
Source: RNAcentral
ACACCGGCAGCUCUAGUGGUAACAAUUUUUAUUGGGCCUAAAGCGUCCGUAGCCGGUUUAAUAAGUCUCUGGUGAAAUCCUGCAGCUUAACUGUGGGAAUUGCUGGAGAUACUAUUAGACUUGAGAUCGGGAGAGGUUAGAGGUACUCCCAGGGUAGAGGUGAAAUUCUGUAAUCCUGGGAGGACCGCCUGUUGCGAAGGCGUCUAACUGGAACGAUUCUGACGGUGAGGGACGAAAGUUAGGGGCGCGAACCGGAUUAGAUACCCGGGUAGUCCUAACUGUAAACGAUGCGGACUUGGUGUUGGGGUGGCUUUGAGCUGCUCCAGUGCCGAAGGGAAGCUGUUAAGUCCGCCGCCUGGGAAGUACGGUCGCAAGACUGAAACUUAAAUGAAUUGGCGGGG